Molecule: ribosomal RNA, 465 nt
Filed under: Vreelandella stevensii
Lineage: Bacteria; Pseudomonadati; Pseudomonadota; Gammaproteobacteria; Oceanospirillales; Halomonadaceae
Description: partial 16S ribosomal RNA
Rfam family: Bacterial small subunit ribosomal RNA
Source: RNAcentral
CCUACGGGUGGCAGCAGUGGGGAAUAUUGGACAAUGGGGGCAACCCUGAUCCAGCCAUGCCGCGUGUGUGAAGAAGGCCCUCGGGUUGUAAAGCACUUUCAGUGAGGAAGAACGCCUGGUGGUUAAUACCCAUCAGGAAAGACAUCACUCACAGAAGAAGCACCGGCUAACUCCGUGCCAGCAGCCGCGGUAAUACGGAGGGUGCGAGCGUUAAUCGGAAUUACUGGGCGUAAAGCGCGCGUAGGUGGCUUGAUAAGCCGGUUGUGAAAGCCCCGGGCUCAACCUGGGAACGGCAUCCGGAACUAUCAAGCUAGAGUGCAGGAGAGGAAGGUAGAAUUCCCGGUGUAGCGGUGAAAUGCGUAGAGAUCGGGAGGAAUACCAGUGGCGAAGGCGGCCUUCUGGACUGACACUGACACUGAGGUGCGAAAGCGUGGGUAGCAAACAGGAUUAGAUACCCGAGUAGUC